AUUGAACGCUGGCGGCAGGCCUAACACAUGCAAGUCGAGCGGAUGAAGGGAGCUUGCUCCUGGAUUCAGCGGCGGACGGGUGAGUAAUGCCUAGGAAUCUGCCUGGUAGUGGGGGAUAACGUCCGGAAACGGGCGCUAAUACCGCAUACGUCCUGAGGGAGAAAGUGGGGGAUCUUCGGACCUCACGCUAUCAGAUGAGCCUAGGUCGGAUUAGCUAGUUGGGGGGGUAAAGGCCUACCAAGGCGACGAUCCGUAACUGGUCUGAGAGGAUGAUCAGUCACACUGGAACGGAGACACGGUCCGGACUCCUACGGGAGGCAGCAGUGGGGAAUAUUGGACAAUGGGCGAAGUCCUGAUCCAGCCAGGCCGCGUGUGUGAAGAAGGUCUUCGGAUUUUAAAGCACUUUAAGUUGGGAGGAAGAGCAGUAAGGUAAUACCUUGCUGUUGUGACGUUACCAACAGAAUAAGCACCGGCUAACUUCGUG
Molecule: ribosomal RNA, 484 nt
Filed under: uncultured bacterium
Lineage: Bacteria
Description: partial 16S ribosomal RNA
Rfam family: Bacterial small subunit ribosomal RNA
Source: RNAcentral